CCUACGGGUGGCAGCAGUGGGGGAUAUUGGACAAUGGGGGGAACCCUGAUCCAGCGACGCCGCGUGAGUGAAGAAGUAUUUCGGUAUGUAAAGCUCUGUCAGCAGGGAAGAAAGCAAUGACGGUACCUGACCACGAAGCCCCGGCUCACUACGUGCCAGCAGCCGCGGUAAUACGUAGGGGGCAAGCGUUAUCCGGAAUUACUGGGUGUAAAGGGAGCGUAGACGGCUGUACAAGUCUGGAGUGAAAGGCGGGGGCGCAGCCCCCGGACUGCUCUGGAAACUGUAUGGCUGGAGUGCAGGAGAGGUAAGCGGAAUUCCUAGUGUAGCGGUGAAAUGCGUAGAUAUUAGGAGGAACACCAGUGGCGAAGGCGGCUUACUGGACUGUAACUGACGUUGAGGCUCGAAAGCGUGGGGAGCAAACAGGAUUAGAUACCCUUGUAGUC
Molecule: ribosomal RNA, 443 nt
Filed under: uncultured bacterium
Lineage: Bacteria
Description: partial 16S ribosomal RNA
Rfam family: Bacterial small subunit ribosomal RNA
Source: RNAcentral